Molecule: ribosomal RNA, 558 nt
Filed under: Bacillus cereus
Lineage: Bacteria; Bacillati; Bacillota; Bacilli; Caryophanales; Bacillaceae
Description: bacterial SSU rRNA
Rfam family: Bacterial small subunit ribosomal RNA
Source: RNAcentral
CCCAUGUAAAAGAGAGCUUGCUCUUAUGAAGUUAGCGGCGGACGGGUGAGUAACACGUGGGUAACCUGCCCAUAAGACUGGGAUAACUCCGGGAAACCGGGGCUAAUACCGGAUAACAUUUUGAACCGCAUGGUUCGAAAUUGAAAGGCGGCUUCGGCUGUCACUUAUGGAUGGACCCGCGUCGCAUUAGCUAGUUGGUGAGGUAACGGCUCACCAAGGCAACGAUGCGUAGCCGACCUGAGAGGGUGAUCGGCCACACUGGGACUGAGACACGGCCCAGACUCCUACGGGAGGCAGCAGUAGGGAAUCUUCCGCAAUGGACGAAAGUCUGACGGAGCAACGCCGCGUGAGUGAUGAAGGCUUUCGGGUCGUAAAACUCUGUUGUUAGGGAAGAACAAGUGCUAGUUGAAUAAGCUGGCACCUUGACGGUACCUAACCAGAAAGCCACGGCUAACUACGUGCCAGCAGCCGCGGUAAUACGUAGGUGGCAAGCGUUAUCCGGAAUUAUUGGGCGUAAAGCGCGGCGCAGGUGGUUUCUUAAGUCUGAUGUGAAAAGCC